UACGUAGGGUGCAAGCGUUGUCCGGAAUCAUUGGGCGUAAAGGGCGCGUAGGCGGCUUUUUAAGUCGGGGGUGAAAGCCUGUGGCUCAACCACAGAAUUGCCUUCGAUACUGCAAAUCUCGAGUCCGGAAGAGGUGGGUGGAGUUCCUAGUGUAGAGGUGAAAUUCGUAGAUAUUAGGAAGAACACCGGUGGCGAAGGCGGCCCACUGGUCCGGUACUGACGCUGAGGUGCGAAAGCGUGGGGAGCAAACAGG
RNAcentral lists this ribosomal RNA (253 nucleotides) under uncultured bacterium. Its description in RNAcentral is "partial 16S ribosomal RNA". It matches the Rfam family "Bacterial small subunit ribosomal RNA", at positions 524 to 776 of the family's 1533-position model. The record is from RNAcentral.